RNAcentral lists this long non-coding RNA (364 nucleotides) under Rattus norvegicus (Norway rat). RNAcentral describes it as "long non-coding RNA NONRATT013926". Lineage: Eukaryota; Metazoa; Chordata; Mammalia; Rodentia; Muridae. The record is from RNAcentral.
AGCUUAAGAGGAUUAUUAGUAGUUGCCACCAUCCAGUUGUUGUCUUCAUUUUGGCUGGGUGUCUUCUUGACGUGGGAGGCGUGUAUCCAAGCAGCGAUCCCAUCCACCUUUACUGCCAUGGGGGUGGUCAGCAACACCAGAUAUGGUCCUUUCCACCGAGGCUCCAAGGUGCCAGCUCGAUGUCGUCUGACUAAGACCGAAUCUCCAACCUGGAACCUGUGGGGCACCUCUGAAGUUCCCGGAUCACUCGCCCAUCCAUAGUCCGCGCUACCCCAUCAAAGCUGAAUUCUUGAGCUUGUUUUCUGCAAACCAUAUCUUCUAAUAUUUUAAAAUCAUUGGCUGAAUAAAUGUGGUUAGAGUCAUC